Molecule: ribosomal RNA, 164 nt
Filed under: Melastoma candidum
Lineage: Eukaryota; Viridiplantae; Streptophyta; Magnoliopsida; Myrtales; Melastomataceae
Also listed under: 6 other names
Description: 5.8S ribosomal RNA
Rfam family: 5.8S ribosomal RNA
About the family: 5.8S ribosomal RNA (5.8S rRNA) is a component of the large subunit of the eukaryotic ribosome. It is transcribed by RNA polymerase I as part of the 45S precursor that also contains 18S and 28S rRNA.
Source: RNAcentral
UUAAUGACUCUCGGCAACGGAUAUCUCGGCUCUUGCAUCGAUGAAGAACGUAGCGAAAUGCGAUACUUGGUGUGAAUUGCAGAAUCCCGCGAACCAUCAAUUCUUUGAACGCAAGUUGCGCCCGAAGCCAUUUGGCCGAGGGCACGCCUGCCUGGGCGUCGUGA